CAGUAGCCGCGGUAAUACGUAGGUGGCAAGCGUUGUCCGGAAUUAUUGGGCGUAAAGGGCUCGCAGGCGGUUUCUUAAGUCUGAUGUGAAAGCCCCCGGCUCAACCGGGGAGGGUCAUUGGAAACUGGGAAACUUGAGUGCAGAAGAGGAGAGUGGAAUUCCACGUGUAGCGGUGAAAUGCGUAGAGAUGUGGAGGAACACCAGUGGCGAAGGCGACUCUCUGGUCUGUGACUGACGCUGAGGAGCGAAAGCGUGGGGAGCGAACAGGAUUAGAUACCCGCGUAGUCCCUGUCUCUUAUAC
Molecule: ribosomal RNA, 301 nt
Filed under: uncultured bacterium
Lineage: Bacteria
Description: partial 16S ribosomal RNA
Rfam family: Bacterial small subunit ribosomal RNA
Source: RNAcentral